GGAUGUGAGGGCGAUCUGGCUGCGACAUCUGUCACCCCAUUGAUCCGCCAGGGUUGAUUCAGCUGAUCUGGCUGGCUAGGCGGGUGUCCCCUUCCUCCCUUACCACUCCUUGUGCUUCCCUCCCGAAGCUGCGCACUCCGUCGAAGAGGACUGACGGGUCUUCAGUCAAGGGUAUACGAGUAGCUGCGCUCCCCUGCUAGAACCUCCAAACAAGCUCUCAAACAAGCCAAGUGGUGUUAUUUGUCUCCACCCUCAUCACACACAAGAAUUCCUAAAAU
RNAcentral lists this small nuclear RNA (278 nucleotides) under Erinaceus europaeus (western European hedgehog). Its description in RNAcentral is "7SK RNA". It matches the Rfam family "7SK RNA". Rfam says of the family: 7SK was discovered as an abundant small nuclear RNA in the mid-70s but a possible function has only recently been suggested. Two independent studies have found that 7SK RNA binds the CDK9/cyclin T complex (known as elongation factor P-TEFb). P-TEFb activates transcription by phosphorylating the C-terminal domain of RNA polymerase II. The record is from Rfam by way of RNAcentral. Lineage: Eukaryota; Metazoa; Chordata; Mammalia; Eulipotyphla; Erinaceidae.